UAGGGAAUCUUCCACAAUGGACGAAAGUCUGAUGGAGCAACGCCGCGUGAGUGAAGGAGGUUUUCGGAUCGUAAAGCUCUGUUGUUGGUGAAGAAGGAUAGAGGCAGUAACUGGUCUUUAUUUGACGGUAAUCAACUAGAAAGUCACGGCUAACUACGUGCCAG
RNAcentral lists this ribosomal RNA (164 nucleotides) under uncultured bacterium. RNAcentral describes it as "partial 16S rRNA". It matches the Rfam family "Bacterial small subunit ribosomal RNA", at positions 355 to 511 of the family's 1533-position model. The record is from RNAcentral.